Molecule: ribosomal RNA, 63 nt
Filed under: Pyricularia oryzae
Lineage: Eukaryota; Fungi; Ascomycota; Sordariomycetes; Magnaporthales; Pyriculariaceae
Description: partial 28S ribosomal RNA
Source: RNAcentral
GUUGACCUCGGAUCAGGUAGGAAUACCCGCUGAACUUAAGCAUAUCAAUAAGCCGGAGGAACG